RNAcentral lists this ribosomal RNA (466 nucleotides) under uncultured bacterium. Its description in RNAcentral is "partial 16S ribosomal RNA". It matches the Rfam family "Bacterial small subunit ribosomal RNA", at positions 28 to 507 of the family's 1533-position model. The record is from RNAcentral.
GAUGAACGCUGGCGGCGUGCUUAACACAUGCAAGUCGAACGGAAAGGCCCAAGCUUGCUUGGGUACUCGAGUGGCGAACGGGUGAGUAACCCGUGGGUGAUCUGCCCUGCACUUCGGGAUAAGCCUGGGAAACUGGGUCUAAUACCGGAUAGGACCACAUUUUGGAUGGUGUGGUGGAAAGUUUUUCGGUUUGGGAUGAGCUCGCGGCCUAUCAGCUUGUUGGUGGGGUAAUGGCCUACCAAGGCGUCGACGGGUAGCCGGCCAGAGAGGGUGUACGGCGACAUUGGGUCUGAGGGGCGGCCCAGACACCUACGGGAGGCAGAAGGGGGGAAUAUUGAACAAGCGGCGCAAGCCGGGUGAAGCGAGGCCGCGGAGGGGAAAACGGCCUUCGGGGUGUAGAAUCCUUUCGCUAGGGACGAAGCGUUAUGUGACGGUACCUGGAGAAGAAGCACCGGCUAACUACGUG